Molecule: ribosomal RNA, 501 nt
Filed under: uncultured bacterium
Lineage: Bacteria
Description: bacterial SSU rRNA
Rfam family: Bacterial small subunit ribosomal RNA
Source: RNAcentral
AGAGUUUGAUCAUGGCUCAGGACGAACGCUGGCGGCGUGCUUAACACAUGCAAGUCGAACGGAAAGGCCCUUCGGGGUACUCGAGUGGCGAACGGGUGAGUAACACGUGGGUGAUCUGCCCUGCACUUUGGGAUAAGCCUGGGAAACUGGGUCUAAUACCGAAUAGGACCAUGGGAUGCAUGUUCUGUGGUGGAAAGCUUUUGCGGUGUGGGAUGGGCCCGCGGCCUAUCAGCUUGUUGGUGGGGUGAUGGCCUACCAAGGCGACGACGGGUAGCCGGCCUGAGAGGGUGUCCGGCCACACUGGGACUGAGAUACGGGCCAAACUCCUACGGGAGGCAGCAGUGGGGAAUAUUGCACAAUGGGCGCAAGCCUGAUGCAGCGACGCCGCGUGGGGGAUGACGGCCUUCGGGUUGUAAACCCCUUUCAGUACCGACGAAGCGUAAGUGACGGUAGGUACAGAAGAAGCACCGGCCAACUACGUGCCAGCAGCCGCGGUAAUAC